CUAGUAGUGGUCUAAGGAAUGUUUCUGUGACUCGAGGGAAAUCUGCUGCUACUUCACAUGAUGUGUGUUUAAGGUCCUCCAAAAAAGCUUCCCAUGAAGAUGGGGCCUCUGUUCAACAAUCCAUAGGCAACCACCAGGAAGAGGCACUGGAGAAUAACAAGGAUAAUACCAAUCCUAGCAAUAUUGACAGACCACUUGAUCACAAUAGUCACCGAUCAACAAGCACGGCCUUGGGCAAGCAUGCAACUGAGAAGUUCCCUGAAGUAGUUGUUGCAUCUUCUGUGUGUUCGGGCAACAGUGCAGGUGCUCUAUCCAAUGACCACAAGCAUGGAGCAAAGAGGAAAAGCCGAGAAGGAGAAGAAACUGAGUACCAGAGCGAUGUAUUAGCAUACUCAUGUUAUAUUCAGGAUGUUGAAGAUGAAUCAGUCAGCUUAAAGAAACCUCCUCCUGCACGUGGCUCUAGUGCAAAGAGAAGUCGAGCUGCAGAAGUGCAUAAUCUGUCUGAAAGAAGGCGAAGAGAUAGGAUCAAUGAGAGAAUGCGUACGCUGCAAGAACUUAUACCCAAUUGUAACAAGGUGGACAAAGCAUCAAUGCUUGAUGAGGCCAUUGAGUAUCUUAAAACUCUUCAGCUUCAAGUGCAGAUAAUGUCUAUGGGAAAUGGAUUUUGUAUGCCUCCAAUGAUGUUACCUCCUGGAAUGCAACACAUUCGUGCACCUCCCAUGGGUCCUUACUCAACAAUGGGCUUAGGAAUGGGGAUGGGAAUGGGUUACGGGAUGGGAAUGCUCGACAUGAAUGGUUCCCCCCUAAUUCCACAAUUUCCUUGCCCUUCACUUCCUGGAGCUCCAGGAUUGCAUGGGAUGCCUGGAUCUGCCGCUCUUCAGAUGUUUGGAAUUCCUGGACAGGGUUUCCCUGUGCCAAUGCCACGACCGGCACAAUCUUCAUCUUUCUCGAUGCUUCCUACAAAACCAAACUCAGUGCCUGAAGGAUCAGAAGCAGACAUAAAUCCAGUACCACAAUCAGCUGCAGAGACAGUUCCAUCUUCAAGUUCAAAGGAUCAGCAUCACCAGAGUAUAAACUCAGAGCUGCCACCAAAAACAAGUGUUCACAACUCACAGAUUCAGGCAUCGAUGAAGGUUAUAAGCUUUAUCCCUGAACUGUAUUUUCUCUUCCAAUCACAUAUUUUUGGGCAUGUGACAACUCAUCAUGUUUUCACGUGCACCAUUUUUGUGUGCUGCACCAAAUUAGGUGAUGCUUCCUGUUUGUUUGUCUCGUGCUUUUGAUUCAUCCAUCCUUGUAUUCCAGGCAAAUAAUGAAUGUGCAGAACACUCUACCUUAGUGCAAAUGAGUGAUCAAAAUGUGCGUAUAGGUGGAAAUGGCUCCAUCAAUUGUCAGAGGAAAAAUGGAUAGAUAAUUCAUGAGAAAUUAAGUUAUUGGCUGAUCGAGGUCGGUGGUGCACAGAGACUUCUACCCUGCCACAACUGGAUUAUAGACAGACAUCCACUUUGUGAAAGUCAUGCUAGACAUCAUAUGAUACAGAAACAACUGUCUGCAUUCUAGCUGGGUGAGUAUAAGAAUAUGCAGAAAGUCAUCAGAAGGAAGUUUGGAUGGGAAUCUACUCAAUUGUACAUUAGAAGGGAUACAGAUUCAGAGUAGUGGAAUCAAUGCAGUUAAUGUGAAUGUCAGAGAGGAUGAGUUUUGACAUUGUAGCUGAAGAUAAGAUUGGGUUACACCUUUCUUGCAUUUAUUUUCAUUAAUGGGACUAUAUUUUUCUAUUAGUUUGAUUAUCUACUGGGAUUUUGCCAGAUUGUAUGAUUGUAGAAA
This is an RNA transcript of Dioscorea cayenensis subsp. rotundata (Guinea yam), 1821 nucleotides long. It is a transcript of the gene named transcription factor PHYTOCHROME INTERACTING FACTOR-LIKE 15-like, with no coding region annotated. NCBI's taxonomy places the organism in Eukaryota, Viridiplantae, Streptophyta, Magnoliopsida, Dioscoreales, Dioscoreaceae. The record is from RefSeq and is a predicted model, not a curated record. The transcript is spliced from 6 exons.